GGAAGGGGUGUAUUUAUUAGAUAAAAAACCAACGCCCUUCGGGGCUUCUUGGUGAUUCAUGAUAACUUCACGGAUCGCAUGGCCUUGCGCCGGCGACGGUUCAUUCAAAUUUCUGCCCUAUCAACUUUCGAUGGUAAGGUAUUGGCUUACCAUGGUUUCAACGGGUAACGGGGAAUUAGGGUUCGAUUCCGGAGAGGGAGCCUGAGAAACGGCUACCACAUCCAAGGAAGGCAGCAGGCGCGCAAAUUACCCAAUCCCGACACGGGGAGGUAGUGACAAUAAAUACUGAUACAGGGCUCUUUUGGGUCUUGUAAUUGGAAUGAGUACAAUUUAAACCUCUUAACGAGGAACAAUUGGAGGGCAAGUCUGGUGCCAGCAGCCGCGGUAAUUCCAGCUCCAAUAGCGUAUAUUAAAGUUGUUGCAGUUAAAAAGCUCGUAGUUGAAACUUGGGCCUGGCUGGCGGGUCCGCCUCACCGCGUGCACUCGUCCGGCCGGGCCUUCCUUCUGAAGAACCUCAUGCCCUUCACUGGGCGUGCUGGGGAACCAGGACUUUUAC
RNAcentral lists this ribosomal RNA (556 nucleotides) under uncultured fungus. RNAcentral's name for it is "SSU rRNA". It matches the Rfam family "Eukaryotic small subunit ribosomal RNA", at positions 194 to 755 of the family's 1831-position model. Lineage: Eukaryota; Fungi. The record is from RNAcentral.